UUUUAGUACAAACAGGGUUUCACCAUGUUGGCCAGGCUGGUCUCGAGCUCCUGGCCUCAAGUGAUCCACCCACCUUGGCCUCCCAAAGUGCUAUGAGUCUUUUUCCUUUGCCAAUUUCAAUAUGUAUCCUUCCACUGUAAUAUACUAUACAACCAUGAGUAUAACCUUUUUUUUUUUUUUUUGAGUUCUAGGAGUCUUUCUAGGAAAUCAUCAAACCUGAGUGUGGUCUUGGAGACCCUAACACAGGUGUUUCCUGCCCUCAAACAUCAGACUCCAUGUUCUUUGG
RNAcentral lists this long non-coding RNA (286 nucleotides) under Homo sapiens (human). RNAcentral's name for it is "HSALNT0349736". The record is from RNAcentral. Lineage: Eukaryota; Metazoa; Chordata; Mammalia; Primates; Hominidae.